Molecule: unclassified non-coding RNA, 375 nt
Filed under: uncultured Gaiellales bacterium
Lineage: Bacteria; Bacillati; Actinomycetota; Thermoleophilia; Gaiellales
Description: contains 16S-23S intergenic spacer region
Source: RNAcentral
UCCGGUUUGACACCGGCAGUCUCCUAUGAGUCCCCGACAUAACUCGCUGGCAACAUAGGACAGGGGUUGCGCUCGUUGCGGGACUUAACCCAGCAUCUCACGACACGAGCUGACGACAGCCAUGCACCACCUGUGAUGAGGUCCUAAGAAGCCGUGUUUCCACGGUUGUCCCCAACAUGUCAAGCCCAGGUAAGGUUCUUCGCGUUGCGUCGAAUUAAACCACAUGCUCCGCUGCUUGUGCGGGUCCCCGUCAAUUCCUUUGAGUUUUAGCCUUGCGGCCGUACUCCCCAGGCGGGAUGCUUAAUGCGUUAGCUUCGGCACGGACGGAGUCGACACCGCCCACACCUAGCAUCCAUCGUUUACGGCGUGGACUAC